UUCGGAUUCUGUGUCUCCCUCUCUCUCUGCCCCUAUCCUGCUCGCUCGCUCUCUCUCUCUCUCUCUCUCUCCCUCAAAAAUAAAUAUUAAAACAAAAACAAAACACAACCUAAUUUAUAGACGUGAAAUCUCCUACUCUUACAACUUUUCCAGGAUUUUGUCGAAGUGACGGUUUCCUCUGAACCUCCAAGUUCACACUGAACUCCAGGUAUCCUGAUGCUUCAUCCAGUGCCUAACCUGCGGUGCCCAAAGCGGUGUAUCCAACAAAGUCCCCAGGUUCUUUUCCUAGAAGGAAAUCCCUCUGUAGAUCUGGUCACAGGAGUUGCGAGCCACCCCUGCAGCGACCAUAAACCAGAUGUCUGCAGGCGGCUACUGGCAGGCUCCUCUGUGUUUCCAGACCCUUCUGGGGCCCUUCCUUCCGCCAUCAUGGCCCGUCUCCGGUAUAACUUCUCCUUCGGUCCUCGGGAAAAGUGAGGCACCUAGAAGCUUGUACUCGUCUCAAGUAACAACAGUCCGGUAUUAGCAGUCCUCUGAACGUAAGCCCCCAGUUGACUCUCACGAACCAGGUGUGAUGAUGUCUUUACGUUUCUUUUCUUUUCUUUAUGCUAGAGAGAGACAGCGAGCAAGUAUGAGCAGGGGAGGGGCAGAGAGAGAGGGAGAGAGAAUCCCAAGCUGGCUCCACACUGCCAGCACAGAGCCCCACACGGGGCUCAAUCCCACGACCCGGGGAUCGUGACCUGAGCCACAAUCAGGAGCCGGAUGCUUGACUGACUGAGCC
This 778-nucleotide long non-coding RNA is filed under the name Felis catus (domestic cat). Its description in RNAcentral is "lncRNA (ENSFCAG00000052348.1)". Lineage: Eukaryota; Metazoa; Chordata; Mammalia; Carnivora; Felidae. The record is from RNAcentral.